CCGCCCCUUCAUGACUCACGGGCUUUUACAAGAGCGCAGGAGUGACAGCUCAAAGCUGUCCACGUCAACACUGAACACAGCGAUGGACUCCGGGGCUCUGGAACCUUCUCUGUACACAGUGAAAGCAGUCUUCAUCUUGGAUAACGAUGGAAACAGACUGCUUUCAAAGUACUAUGACCCGGAGUUGUACCCCUCAAUGAAGGAGCAGAAGAAUUUUGAGAAGAAUGUCUUCAACAAAACACAUAAAGCAGAUAAUGAAAUAGCCUUCCUGGAGGGCAUGACCAUAGUCUACAAGAGCAGCAUAGAUUUGUUCUUCUAUGUGGUGGGCAGCGCACAGGAGAAUGAGCUCAUGUUGAUGGCAGUGCUGAAUUGCUUAUUUGAAUCACUCAGUCAGAUCUUGAGGAAAAAUGUAGAGAGACGAUGUCUGCUGGAUAAUCUGGAUGGAGUCUUUCUGGUGGUGGAUGAGAUCAUUGAUGGGGGGGUGAUCCUGGAGAGCGACCCUCAGCAGGUAGUGGAGAAGGUCAACUACAGGUGUGUGUCGGAGCAGGCCUUUGGCUUUGUCCUCUUCGAUUACAUCACGGGUAACAUGGAGGGCCAGGGCCAGAAGAGCCAGCUUUUAUAACUCACAGAGACCACCCCUCCUCUCCUCCUCCUUCUCCUCACAGAGAGAGAGGGCUGUGGGGGGAGGGAGAGAGGAUAUGGUCAGGCUGAUGACAACCCACUAUCAGAGCAGAGUGUGGCUCAGGUGUUACAGUCUGCAAAAGAACAGAUCAAGUGGUCAAUACUGAAGUAAUCUCCUUUGCCAUGAGAGCAGACCUGUAAAUGAUCUAAAGGGAAUGGGAAGCAUUGUAGCUAUGCAGCUUUGUUUAUGAAACUCUCUAGGCUAAUGAAUUGUGAAAGUAGCUGUUUUUGUUAUUAAGCCAUUCAGACUUGAAUGCUUUGUUAAACAGAUUAUGCUGUUAUGAAACUACAAAAGAGGCCCAGUAACUACAUAUUUUAAACUGAAGGGCAAUUAUUUAAUAAGUUUUCUUGGAUUUUGAAUUGUGGUCAGUAAAAGCUGAUCUGGUUUGCACUGAAUAUUUCCAACAUGCCUGCAUAAGUCUCUCACAAGCCAGUGAGGUUAACUGAGCUGUAAAAAUUAGUACUCAAAUCUGUAUGGCUUUUGUGGCAAACUCUGUGUAAUUAUUUAUUAUUUUAAGCGUCAUUGCAACUAGGGCCACUUUUUCUUAUUGUAAGUCAACUCAUUUGGUGUGUUAUUUGCAAUUUAGCGAUGCAACUGUUUUAAUGCACAACAAAUGUCACUUUUUGAUCUGUUUGUCAUGAGUGUGAACUAUUUAAAAUGUAGAUGCAGUUAAACAAGUGGCAGUAUGUUACAUUAUGUUACAUUAUGUUAUCCAAAUGCUAAUGUUUUGACUAAAAUAAAAACAUGCUCAGAAACCAAAGAGUAUAAGAAAGGGAAACUUGGUAGUUUGAGGGGUCCAGGAAAAAUGGCACAGAACAUUUCUUAAUCUGAUCUGAACAGAUGUAAGUUUGUAUAGUUAUGAACAUCUAACCUACCUAACCCAUUUAAUAUAUUUUUUACAUGUAAUUUUCAUAUUUGUUUUCACAAUCAAAUCUGGAUUUUCUAUUACUUUCUACUUACUUACUACUUAGUAAGAUUGAAAACUUAAGAACUCCCCUUUGAAAAAAAUAGACAGAUCUGUGUUCAAGCUUAGAGAGCAUUUGCACCAAAUUAAUGUCAAAUUGAUUAAUGCUAAGUCAAGAAUGUUACUGAAGGAAUAUAUAUAUAUAUAUAUAUAUAUAUAUAUAUAUAUAUAUAUAUAUAUAUAUAUAUGUAUGUAUAUAUAUGUAUAUAUAUAUAUAUAUAUAUAUAUAUAUAUAUAUAUAUAUGUGUGUGUGUGUGUGUGUAUAAUAUUCAUACUACAUGAUGCCUCUUGGCCACAUUUAAUAAUACCUAGUUGUAAUAAGUUGAAAUAAAAAUGUUAAAACAUGCUGUUUUUGGACCGGUAGCCUUACUCCAGCUAAAACAGUUGCAUUGCAUUACGACGCAAGCCGUUUUUAUUUUGGUGUUAUUUUAGUGUUACCUCCCAUUAACAGUGUGUGAACAGACUUUUAUUUAGGAAACAGUUUGAACUUGCUCCUUCAUAGAUGUAACAGACAUUAUUGUCACUAGAUGUUAAUAAAUAUUAUUUUGGUAUGAUG
Colossoma macropomum (tambaqui) is the source of this 2202-nucleotide RNA transcript. It is a transcript of the gene named COPI coat complex subunit zeta 2, with no coding region annotated. The transcript is spliced from 10 exons. NCBI's taxonomy places the organism in Eukaryota, Metazoa, Chordata, Actinopteri, Characiformes, Serrasalmidae. The record is from RefSeq and is a predicted model, not a curated record.